GCAUCUGAAUCUUUCCCGCUCCUUGCAAUGUAGUGCUGGACCGGGGAUACAUGGUGCAACAGGAAAGCAGAGGAAAUCCAGACAAGCUCCCUUUCACCACAGUGGGACUUGUCUCUACACCUGUGCAACAUUU
This is a small nucleolar RNA of Falco tinnunculus (common kestrel), 133 nucleotides long. The record is from Ensembl. NCBI's taxonomy places the organism in Eukaryota, Metazoa, Chordata, Aves, Falconiformes, Falconidae.